This 602-nucleotide ribosomal RNA is filed under the name Agabus glacialis. RNAcentral's name for it is "partial 16S ribosomal RNA". It matches the Rfam family "Bacterial large subunit ribosomal RNA", at positions 1854 to 2732 of the family's 2925-position model. The record is from RNAcentral. Lineage: Eukaryota; Metazoa; Arthropoda; Insecta; Coleoptera; Dytiscidae.
GACCUGCCCACUGAAAUUAUUUGAAGGGCCGCAGUAAUUUGACUGUGCAAAGGUAGCAUAAUCAUUAGUUUUUUAAUUAAAAGCUUGUAUGAAGGGUUGGACGAGGUAAAUUCUGUCUCUAUUUAAUUUAAUAUAGAAUUUAAUUUUUAAGUUAAAAAGCUUAAAUUUUUUUAAAAGACGAGAAGACCCUAUAGAUCUUUAUAUUAUAAUUAUUAAUUUUAAUUAAGAAUAUUUUAUUUUUUAUUAUUUAUAUUAUUUUAUUGGGGUAAUAAAAAGAUUAAUUGAAUUCUUUUUUUAUUUUUACAUUAAUAAAUGAUUAUAUGAUCCAAUUUUAUUGAUUAAAAGAUUAAGUUACCUUAGGGAUAACAGCGUAAUUUUUUUAGAGAGUUCAUAUCGAUAAAAAAGUUUGCGACCUCGAUGUUGGAUUAAAAAUUAUCUUAGGUGCAGAAGUUUAAGAUUUUGGUCUGUUCGACCAUUAAAUUUUUACAUGAUCUGAGUUCAGACCGGUGUAAGCCAGGUCGGUUUCUAUCUUUAAUAAAAUAAAAUAUUUUAGUACGAAAGGACCAAGUAUUUAAUAUAUAUAUAUUUAGUUUUUUGAAUAU